This 468-nucleotide ribosomal RNA is filed under the name uncultured bacterium. Its description in RNAcentral is "partial 16S ribosomal RNA". It matches the Rfam family "Bacterial small subunit ribosomal RNA", at positions 28 to 507 of the family's 1533-position model. The record is from RNAcentral.
GACGAACGCUGGCGGCGUGCUUAACACAUGCAAGUCGAACGGAAAGGCCCUGCUUUUGUGGUGUGCUCGAGUGGCGAAAGGGUGAGUAACACGUGAGUAACCUGCCCUUGACUUUGGGAUAACUUCAGGAAACUGGGGCUAAUACCGGAUAGGAGCUCCUGCUGCAUGGUGGGGGUUGGAAAGUUUCGGCGGUUGGGGAUGGACUCGCGGCUUAUCAGCUUGUUGGUGGGGUAGUGGCUUACCAAGGCUUUGACGGGUAGCCGGCCUGAGAGGGUGACCGGCCACAUUGGGACUGAGAUACGGCCCAGACUCCUACGGGAGGCAGCAGUGGGGAAUAUUGCACAAUGGGCGGAAGCCUGAUGCAGCAACGCCGCGUGCGGGAUGACGGCCUUCGGGUUGUAAACCGCUUUCGCCUGUGACGAAGCGUGAGUGACGGUAAUGGGUAAAGAAGCACCGGCUAACUACGUG